This 73-nucleotide transfer RNA is filed under the name Bos taurus (domestic cattle). Its description in RNAcentral is "tRNA-Lys (TTT) (tRNA-Lys-TTT-26-1)". The record is from RNAcentral. Lineage: Eukaryota; Metazoa; Chordata; Mammalia; Artiodactyla; Bovidae.
UCCCUGGGGGUCUAGUGGUUAGGACUCAGAGCUUUUACCACUGUGGCCCCAGGUUCAAUACCUGGUCAGGGAA